Molecule: ribosomal RNA, 1518 nt
Filed under: Triticum aestivum (bread wheat)
Lineage: Eukaryota; Viridiplantae; Streptophyta; Magnoliopsida; Poales; Poaceae
Description: partial small subunit ribosomal RNA
Source: RNAcentral
AUGGCUGCAAGAAAGGAUAAUGCAGUCCUUAUUGCUUGCCAAGCUCCCAACGGCCGUGUAACACGAGCUCAAGCUGCUAAUCGUGGAAGGUUUGGAGUGCCUCACCCAGCACCGGUACCUGUCAGAACUGAACGAAAACCGGCGACUAAAGGAAAGGCGAAACGGGGAGCUUCAGAUGAGAACACUUGUGCAAGUGCUCUAACUUCAGCUCCACCUCCUAAAAGGCGAGCAGCACUCAAGGAUGUGACAAACAUAAGCUGUGCAAACUCGUUCAGAAAUUGCACUGCUGUGACUAAGCUACAGUCAAGGCCCACACAAAAGGUAGGGCGAAAUCCAAGCAAAAACAAGCAGUGCACAAAGAAGGCCCCUAAGCCACCUCUUCCUGCUGUUAGUGGAACUUCAUUUGUUGUGAAUGAUUCUCAUAAUGUGGAAGAAUCUCAGAAGGCAGAGCUUUUGCCACCAAAGGAGGAGCCCACUGCUCUGCUCGAAAACAAGGGAUCGUUGUCAUUAUGGAAUAUUGCACGGAACAGGGAGAGUGGUGUUCAUGAGCCAUUCUUUCAGGGAAGAAACACAAGAGAUAAAUCUGAAACUGCUGACUCAAACACUGGGUACUAUGUUGGCUUAAACGUUAUAGACAUUGACAAAGAUAAUGGCAAUCCACAAAUGUGUGCUUCCUAUGCUGCAGAGAUAUACAGAAACCUAAUGGCUGCAGAGCUUAUAAGGAGACCUAAAUCAAAUUACAUGGAGACUUUGCAAAGGGAUAUCACAAAGGGCAUGCGAGGAAUCCUGAUUGAUUGGCUUGUUGAGGUUUCUGAGGAAUAUAAACUUGUGCCAGACACACUGUACCUCACUGUAUAUCUUAUUGAUCAAUUUCUUUCUCGGAAAUAUAUUGAAAGACAGAAACUACAACUUCUUGGAAUAACUAGCAUGCUGAUUGCCUCAAAAUAUGAAGAGAUCUGUGCGCCUCGUGUUGAAGAAUUUUGUUUCAUAACUGAUAACACAUAUACAAAAAAUCAGGUGCUGAAAAUGGAGUGCGAAGUGCUUAAUGAUCUGGGGUUUCAUCUUUCUGUUCCCACAAUCAAAACGUUUCUGAGGAGAUUCCUUAGAGCAGCACAUGCUUCUCAAAAAGCUCCUUGUGCAACUUUGGGCUAUCUGGGCAAUUAUCUCGCGGAGUUGACUUUGACCGAUUACAGUUUCCUGAAAUUUCACCCUUCAGUGGUGGCAGCCUCGGCAGUGUUCCUUGCAAGAUGGACACUCGACCAAUCAGACCUGCCAUGGAACUGUACUCUCGAGCAUUACACCUCAUACAAAAGUUCUGAUAUUCAAGGAUGCGUACGCGAUCUAUGGGAGCUGCAGCAGGGCAACACCAGCGGAAGUCCCCCCCUCAAUGCCAUACGCGAGAAGUACCGGCAGGAAAAGUUUGAAUGUGUAGCCAAUAUGCUGUCGCCGGCGAUGCCUGUGUCGCUCUUCCAUAGACAAUCUAACGGCACCAGCCCCCUGCUGAUCAACAACUCCUAG